CCCCUAGAUGUUCUGGGCCGCACGCGCGCUACACUGAACAGUUCAACAAGUCUUAACCUUGGCCGAUAGGUCUGGGUAAUCUUUGAACGCUGUUCGUGAUUGGGAUAGACCUUUGCAAUUAUGGGUCUUCAACGAGGAAUUCCUAGUAAACGCAAGUCAUCAGCUUGCAUUGAUUACGUCCCUGCCCUUUGUACACACCGCCCGUCGCACCUACCGAUUGAAUGGUCCGGUGAAAUCUCGGGACGGCGGCUUGGUCGCUUGCGUCCGACUGCUGAAACUUGAUUAAACCAUAUCAUUUAGAGGAAGGCGAAGUCGUANCA
This 320-nucleotide ribosomal RNA is filed under the name uncultured eukaryote. RNAcentral's name for it is "partial 18S ribosomal RNA". It matches the Rfam family "Eukaryotic small subunit ribosomal RNA", at positions 1470 to 1796 of the family's 1831-position model. The record is from RNAcentral.